This 2282-nucleotide long non-coding RNA is filed under the name Salmo salar (Atlantic salmon). RNAcentral describes it as "lncRNA (ENSSSAG00000095152.1)". Lineage: Eukaryota; Metazoa; Chordata; Actinopteri; Salmoniformes; Salmonidae. The record is from RNAcentral.
AUAGACUGAUCAUUUCUUUGUCAGUGGGCAAACGUACAAAAUCAGCAGGGGAUCAAAUACUUUUUUCCCUCACUGUAAGCAGCAUCAGUCCAUGGACCCAUCCCGCCUGGUGUCAACGGUACAGGCUGGCAGUGGUUGUGUACUGGUGUGGAGAAUGUUUUCCUGGCACACUUUGGGUCCCUUGAUACCAAUUGUGCAACGAUUGAACGCCACAGUGUAUCUGAACAUUGUUGCUAACCAAACCCAAUUGAGCAUCUUUGAGAUGAGAUGGAAUGGGCUGUUCACAGCAUGAAUGUACCGCUGUCAGAUCUACAGUAUGGACCAACAUCCCUGUGGAACUUUUCCAACACUUUGUAAAAUCCAUGCCCCGAAGAAUUCAGACUGUUCUGUAGGCAAUGGGUGUACCUAAUAAACUGACCAUGGAGUGUAUAUGUAUAUGAGAUAUCACAUAUGAUUAUAUGAGGAGUACCUGUUUAAUUUACAACUCUAAGUCCUACAGAUGUAGGAUCUUAAUUUGAGACAGUUUGCUACAGUAGGAAAAUAAUCCUGCAGCAACAGGAUAUUUGAAUUAUUAUGUGAAUUAUAAUUAAUAUACCUUUUUGUAGGGGUCGAUACAUUGUCCAUUAGGACAAAACAAGUCUGACAUUUCAAAGUUGAAAUUACAAACUUAAGAAGCCUUUUUAAAACUCAAAUACACUAGAAGUUUGCAUUUCCUCCUGUGCAGGAAAAUUAUCAGCAACAAAAGAGUGAGCAAAUGAAGAUCCUUCAGUACAUCUGUAUCAUCAACUGAUUUCAGCCAGUGUAUGGCUGUGGAUGGCUGCAUUGCUUGAAUGGAAUGUAGGCGUAUUGGCAGUUCAUUUGAAAAAUGAAUGGAAUCAUUCCUCUAAAACUGUGGCUACCUAGCUAACACACAUACAAUGCAGAUCAAUUAUUAACAUUCCUUGUUUUACACAAUAUCUUAUCUCAGCAUGGUUGACAAACUCCCUGACCAACAUGGCUGACCUUUGGACCAUCAUAAGAAGGUUCAUGUCCAUUCUAAUAAUCUAAUUCCUAAUUAUAUGGAUGCUACUGCAUAAUGACGGUAACAUGGCUUUGGCUUUACUCCAUCACAGCAGUCACAGACUGUCAUCAUUAAUAGCACCCAAAGACGCACCUACAGUAGCAAGUUACAGUAUAUCAGACUCAUGGGCUAUACGAGUUAGGCCAUACACCCUACCAGCUCCAAGGGCGUCUCCUUGUCCGCCAGCUCCAAGACCACCACCAAAACCACCUGGACCAGCUCCACCCUGGCCAACACCAGAACCAGGCCCAUAUCCUCCUGGUCCAGCUUCACCUGGUCCAUAGCCUCCAGCUCCUAAUCCAGCCCCCUGUCCCCCAGGACUGCGACCUACAUAGCCAGCUCCUGGGGAUCAAACACAAGAAAUACAGACUCAAACAGACAAAAACACAUCUCAAAGGUCUACUGUACAUAGAGACAAGAUCCACACACAUCUGUUUUGGAAGGAUUCCCGCUGGCUCCUGUAGAAAGAUGGAGAAACAGCAGAGGAAUAACAGAGGCCAUAAGAUCAGGUUGUAUUGCAUGAGUUAGUGUGACUCCCAAAAGGCACCCAAUUAUGGGCAAAAGUAGUGCACUAUUUAAGGAAUAUGGUGCCAUUUGGGAACACGGCCGGUAUCUUUGACUGUACUCCAUCUGUAGACCUCAGGGUUCGUUACCUGUUCCAUCGGGUCCAUAACCAUGACCAUAAACUCCAGGACCAGCUCCCCCAGGACCAACACCAACACCAAGCCCAUAGCCACCUGGUCCAGCCCCAGCUCCACCUGGUCCAUAGCCACCUGGUCCAAAACCUCCAACACCCAGUCCAGCCCCCUCUCCACCUGGUCCAUAACCUCCUGGUCUGACUCCUUGUCUAAGACCUCCUCCUCCCAGACCUCCAGCUCCUAGUCCAGCCCCCUGUCCUCCAGGACUCCGACCUCCAUUGCCAGCUCCUGGAGAGGAAGACUCAAGCAUCAGUAUCACAACUGAAUCUGUCCAUUACAUCCAGGGCCGGAUUACAGAAGGGGCACGCAGGGCACAGAUACCAGAUACCAUAUGAUAGCAAAAUGUGUAGAACUGCAGGAAAUUAGCUUUAAAACUAUAAAAAAUUCUCUCAGCAUUAUUGAAAAAUGUUUAGUAUAGCAGGAAAUUUGCUUUAAAACUGCCCUACCCCACUCCCCAACAAAUAUCCCUGGGGCCCCAAAUGCAGUAGUUCGGCCCUGAUUACAUCUCUAAGCCAAGAAAAUAC